Long non-coding RNA from Salvelinus fontinalis (brook trout), 1415 nucleotides. RefSeq lists it as uncharacterized. Lineage: Eukaryota; Metazoa; Chordata; Actinopteri; Salmoniformes; Salmonidae. The transcript has 3 exons. The record is from RefSeq and is a predicted model, not a curated record.
GUACUGACAUAGUGAACUCCACCUCUACACAGGUACUGACAUAGUGAACUGGACCUCUACACAGGUACUGACAUAGUGAACUGGACCUCUACACUCAGGUACUGACAUAGUGAACUGCACCUCUACACUCAGGUACUGACAUAGUGAACUCCACCUCUACACAGGUACUGACAUAGUGAACUGGACCUCUACACAGGUACUGACAUAGUGAACUGGACCUCUACACAGGUACUGACAUAGUGAACUGGACCUCUACACACAGGUACUGACAUAGUGAACUGGACCUCUACACAGGUACUGACAUAGUGAACUGGACACACAGGUACUGACAGUGAACUGCACCUCUACACAGGUACUGACAUAGUGAACUGGACACACAGGUACUGACAUAGUGAACUAGACACACAGGUACUGACAUAGUGAACUGCACCUCUACACAGGUACUGACAUAGUGAACUGGACCUCUACACAGGUACUGACAUAGUGAACUGGACCUCUACACAGGUACUGACAUAGUGAACUGGACCUCUACACAGGUACUGACAUAGUGAACUGGACCUCUACACAGGUACUGACAUAGUGAACUGGACCUCUACACACAGGUACUGACAUAGUGAACUGGACAUAGGUACUGACAUAGUGAACUGGACACAGGUACUGACAUAGUGAACUCCACCUCUACACAGGUACUGACAUAGUGAACUGGACCUCUACACAGGUACUGACAUGGUGAACUGGACCUCUACACACAGGUACUGACAUAGUGAACUGGACAUAGGUACUGACAUAGUGAACUGGACACAGGUACUGACAUAGUGAACUCCACCUCUACACAGGUACUGACAUAGUGAACUGGACCUACACAAAGGUACUGACAUAGUGAACUGGACCUCUACACAGGGACUGACAUAGUGAACUCCACCUCUACACAGGUACUGACAUAGUGAACUGGACCUCUACACAGGUACUGACAUAGUGAACUGGACCUAUACAUAGGGACUGACAUAGUGAACUGGACCUCUACACAGGUACUGACAUAGUGAACUGCACCUCUACACAGGUACUGACAUAGUGAACUGGACACACAGGUACUGACAUAGUGAACUGGACACACAGGUACUGACAUAGUGAACUGGACACACAGGUACUGACAUAGUGAACUGGACACACAGGUACUGACAUAGUGAACUGCACCUACACACAGGUACUGACAUAGUGAACUGGACACACAGGUACUGACAUAGUGAUCUGCACCUACACACAGGUACUGACAUAGUGAACUGCACCUACACACAGGUACUGACAUAGUGAACUGGACCUCUACACAGGUACUGACAUAAAGAACUGCACCUACACACAGGUACUGACAUAGUGAACUGGACCUCUACACAGGUACUGACAUAAAGAACUGCACC